AAAGUUGGUCACAAAGCUGGCCAAGGUCGGUUACAAAGUCCAAUGGCCUUGUCAAUUGAGGCCGGAAUAAGAAACAGCAGAAGAAUGUCUCAGGUUAGUUAGGC
This is a long non-coding RNA of Sapajus apella (tufted capuchin), 104 nucleotides long. RefSeq lists it as uncharacterized. NCBI's taxonomy places the organism in Eukaryota, Metazoa, Chordata, Mammalia, Primates, Cebidae. The transcript has 3 exons. The record is from RefSeq and is a predicted model, not a curated record.